This 1884-nucleotide ribosomal RNA is filed under the name Triticum aestivum (bread wheat). RNAcentral describes it as "partial small subunit ribosomal RNA". Lineage: Eukaryota; Viridiplantae; Streptophyta; Magnoliopsida; Poales; Poaceae. The record is from RNAcentral.
AUGGUUGGCAAGCUCUCCAUGGCCACCGUGGCGCCAUGGAAGCGACUCUGCAAGCUCGUAUCAAACGGACACUACCAGGAAGCGCUCCUCUCCUACUCUCGAGCCCACGCGUCCAACCUCCGUCCGGACGCCUUCACCUUCCCCUGCCUCCUCAAGUCCUGCGCCGCGCUCAAGGAUGCCCCCGCCGUGCUCCAAGUCCACGGUCACCUCGCCAAGUCGGGCUUCUCCUCCUGCCCCUACACGGCCACCGCCCUAACGAGCGCCUAUGCCAGGCUCCUCCGUCUCGGGGAGGCAUGCAAGGUGUUCGACGAAAUGCGGGAAAGAAACGUGCCCUGCUUCAAUGCUCUCAUCGCGGGGUUCUCGCAGUGCGGAAAGGUUGAUGAAGCGAUGGGUGUAUUUAGGCUCCUCGGGAAAGAGGGGAUACUGCCGGACUCUGUCACAAUGGCGAGUGUGCUACCUGCGUGUCGGGCCAUGGAGCAAGGGAAGCAGCUGCACGGGCUUGUAGUGAAGACCGGUGAUUGUUUGGAUCGCUAUGUUGCCACAUCACUCAUCACAAUGUACUUGGAUUGUGGUGAUUCGGAUGGCGCAAGGAGGAUUCUUGAACUCAUGGUUGAUAAGGGCGUCGAGAGUUACAAUGCAAUGGCUUCUGGACUGUUGAGGAAUGGUGAAGAUUUUAUAGCUUUGGGUACUGUCAGGGAAAUGAUAUUUGGAUCCAGCGAAAAACCUAAUGAGACCACUUUGCUGGUAGUCCUCUCAGCGUGCACUAGUGUGUUGGUACCGUCACUUGGUAAAGAGGUCCAUUGCUAUGUCCUGAAGCAUGCAAUGGAUUGCAGUAUCAAGAUCAGGACUGCACUCAUUGACAUGUACUCAAAAUGUUGUUCUCUGGAGUGUGCUUACCAGGUUUUCUCUGCCAUGGAUGAGCGGAACUUGGUGACCUGGAAUACGAUGAUCUCAGGUUUUCUGAUACACGAGAAGCUUGCAAACGCCUUAGGGUUGUUCCAACAGCUGAGGUUGAAAGGCUUCAGCCCUGACAGUAUUACAUGGAAUCUGAUGAUUAAUGGGCUUGCACAUCACCAGAAGUUUGCUGAGGUUUUCUCAUUUUUCAAUAAGAUGCGGUUGGAGGGAGUCUCAGGUGCAAGUCUGGAAACCAUGACAAGUAUGUUGAGUGCUUGUUCAGCUAUGUCAGAUAUCAAGCAUGGGAAGGAAAUAUAUUGCCAUGUUAUUCGAACAAUGCAACACUUUGAGGAUGAUGUUUUCCAGACAACAGUGAUUGACAUGUUUAUGAGUUGUGGAUGUGACAGCUAUGCUGGUAGAAUAUUUGAGAAAGAUAGGAGGAAAUCGAAUGAUCCAGCUUUGUGGAAUGCAAUGAUUUCUGGUUACGGAAGGUGUGGGAAAAGCAGUUUAGCAUUGCAAACCUUCAACGAAAUGCUUGAGCAGCAAGUGCAUCCCAACUCAGCCACCUUUCUCUGUGCUCUUUCAGCUUGUGGCCAUGCUGGAUUAGUCCAGAAAGCAUUGCAUAUCUACCAAAUGAUGGAGAGUGCCUACAGUAUCAACCCUACUUUUGAACACUUGAGCGUCAUGGUUGACCUUUUUUGCCGUGCUGGAAAGCUAUCUGAAGCUUAUGGUCUAUUACUGAAACAUACUGAUCCACCAGCUUCAAUGUGGUAUUCUUUUCUUGGUGCUUGUAGAAACUACUCUAAUGCCGAACUUGGUGAAAUAGCAGCAACAAAACUCUAUGAUUUGGACCCUUCAAGCACAACUCCAUGGGUAAUUCUAUCCAACAUAUACGCUGAACAAUAUCGAUGGGGCGAAGUAGAGACACUGAGGAAAAUGAUGUCAGACAAGCACCUCAUCAAAGCUCCUGCGCGUACUGAACUUGUAUGA